AGCCUACAAACUGCACUGUGUUCAAACAUUCUUAUUUUCCAAGUUGAUAUCUUUUAUAUAGAUCCUCCCAUGUUUCGCUGAAUCGAAUAGUUGCCUCUGGAUUCGUGAGAUCUCUAUGGUAAUGAGUAACUAAGUUAUAUAUGUUGCCAAAACUUUUACAUAGGUUAGUUGAUUAUUUACUUCGAAGUUUUAUAGUCCAAUACUUUGAGAAUUUCUUCUGGGCAGAUGAAUGUUAUUCAAGGGGAAGAGGCAGGAUCGUCAACAGAACUGAAAAGGCAUUACGACACUGACUCCGUCUUUCGUGAGAAUGCCGAUGCCGCCGUUUGUUCUGAAAUUACAUAGAACAAGUUUUCCCUUUACUCAUAUAUUCAACCAAUUGACUUGACAAUACAAACACUUGUGGUUUAUCAGCAUCUCCCUCUAAUAUUUAAGGGCACUCGAUCGUGUGGGAAGCCUCGUGUAAUUUCUUUUUUCAAUCAUGCUAUUGGAGAGCAAGUUACAUGGAACAAGUUCACUAUCACUUGACAUCCCGAUUCAAUAACACAUUGUCAUGUAGAAAAACCUGCAUUUGGCAAUGCAUUAUUGAACAAAGAACUCCACGUACCCAUUCCAUGUAAGUCUUUCUCGUGCUAUUGGCAACUCACGACAAUUCAGUCUUCAUUAAUUUAAGUAACCAAACGAUAUAACAUGUGUACGUUUACAGAGUAUAUUUUAUACACACGCAAUCAUUUAAUCUAGUUUCAUCUAGUCUUCAUUUAAUUUGAGAAUUUCAUAAAUUCAAAUUUGAUAUGAGAUAGAUGUUUGUAUAAAAUUCAUAAAAUUCUCAAAAAAAACAAGUGUAAUUAUGCCUUCUAUGAAAAUAUAUAAAUCCGUCGAAGUCCAUUGUGAGCCCU
This 893-nucleotide long non-coding RNA is filed under the name Malus domestica (apple). Its description in RNAcentral is "long non-coding RNA (MDOM_LNC018594)". The record is from RNAcentral. Lineage: Eukaryota; Viridiplantae; Streptophyta; Magnoliopsida; Rosales; Rosaceae.